RNAcentral lists this transfer RNA (76 nucleotides) under Gammaproteobacteria bacterium. RNAcentral's name for it is "tRNA-Arg". It matches the Rfam family "tRNA". From Rfam's summary of the family: Transfer RNA (tRNA) molecules are approximately 80 nucleotides in length. Lineage: Bacteria; Pseudomonadati; Pseudomonadota; Gammaproteobacteria. The record is from RNAcentral.
GCCCCGGUAGCUCAGUGGAUAGAGCGGCCGCCUCCUAAGCGGCAGGUCGCCGGUUCGACUCCGGCCCGGGGCGCCA